GGUCGUCCACCACCGGAGCUUUUGCCCUGUGCGCCGUCUCCUUCAUGACCUCGUCUGCGUGCACGACUGCUUUCUGGAGGGCCGCCACUGGGAUCCACGGGGUGCGCCUCCACCCCCCUGCAGCUCCAUCACGUGUGAUGGGCGCCGAUCUGCAGGCUUGAGCUUGAGCUCCUUGGCGUCCUUCCUCCAGUUGGUGGCCCAGCUCGCCGGCGUUCUGAGUACGGCCUCGGCUACAAACUCUGACGGAUAACUGUACCAUACCCAUUCCAGUGGGGAGCACUGACUUUUCAUGCUGCUGAAUGCUUUGCCAUGAUGGCAGCUGCUUUUGUUGCUCUUGUGGAGACCUUGAAGCUCCCAAAAUGCAAACACCAGGAGAUAGGGGUGUCAAACUGAAACAAAGAAGCCCAUGACCGGUCUCAUAAUUUUACCAAUAGUACCGCCAUCAGCCGCAAAGACGGCAAGCUCAAGCAGGCCAAUGAAGGUUGAGGUUUCGACUUCUACUGGAAUACAGUUCUUCUAAUCUCUAUACAGGGCUCAAGAAAUAGAAAGCGACUCGUGCUUCAAGUACCAAGAAAAUAAUUUCCUUGCAAGAUAAGACAAAUCUAUAAGCUUCUCCAUUUGUAACGCCAGCGCUAGCAUAAAUGUC
This is a long non-coding RNA of Triticum dicoccoides, 646 nucleotides long. RefSeq lists it as uncharacterized. NCBI's taxonomy places the organism in Eukaryota, Viridiplantae, Streptophyta, Magnoliopsida, Poales, Poaceae. The transcript is spliced from 5 exons. The record is from RefSeq and is a predicted model, not a curated record.